UGGGUGAUAAGCCAGCCUGCUAUCCCCAGAGCAACUCAGAAUGUUUGGUAUGUUACAGUACUUUCACACUAAAAACUAACGUGGCUUCCAGAAGACAGUGAUGGGAACAACAGGCAACUCGCUCAUUACACUACGCCUUGGAACAGAAGCCACUAAUGAGUCUAAUCCAUUCACCUUCUGGACACCUUAGCUGUCUGCAUCUCCCCCUCAGAGAAGCAGAGUCCCCCUCUUCAGAUGUCCAUUCAUUUACCCGCAGCUCCAUCAAACCCUACUCCCCAGAUUACAUUUCAAAUGAUGGAGUGUUCCAGGAUGCUCUCUGCAAACCAAACCAGGCUUUGUAAAGGCGAGAGAUGAUUGUGGUUGGCAUCUAGAGCUCUGAGGGCACAUCCCCGAGUUGGAAGAUUCUCUGUGUUUCAGGCGGACUUUGCACUCCUCCAUGGCAGCCCGGCUUCUGACCGCAGGCAGAAUGAUUAAUGGAAAGUUCUGAUGAGAAGUAAUUUUUUUGAGAAGCACCAGAACCCCUCCUCCCUCCAGCUUGGACUGAAGUGCAAAGAAAGCAGCGGUUCAAUUACUGUUUUGGGGGUUUUAUUUUUUAUUUUUUUGCAAUUUGGCAUUUUUGUGAUCUCUCAAAAUUGAUUUCCUUUCACCCUAAACCCUGUUGCUUCCCUAACAGUCAAUUUCAAGUAAAUAUCUGUCUGUUCAUUGUGUGA
Molecule: long non-coding RNA, 710 nt
Organism: Bubalus bubalis (water buffalo)
Lineage: Eukaryota; Metazoa; Chordata; Mammalia; Artiodactyla; Bovidae
Exons: 2
Source: RefSeq, a predicted model, not a curated record